Long non-coding RNA from Xenia sp. Carnegie-2017, 1011 nucleotides. RefSeq lists it as uncharacterized. The record is from RefSeq and is a predicted model, not a curated record. Lineage: Eukaryota; Metazoa; Cnidaria; Anthozoa; Malacalcyonacea; Xeniidae. The transcript is spliced from 4 exons.
UGUGGCUUGGUUGAUCGUGGGUUGUUAGAUUGUACAAGUAAAAUCGGGAAAACACAACAGUGUAGGUUACAAGAAAUCAUACUGUGUCAAAGACGUUCAAUGAGAAACAAGUCCACAUCAUUGUGAGAAGCGAUGGGCUCUCUUUGAAAGCAACAGAUGAGGCAAAUUCAUCAAAAUGUAUCGAGCACAUGGUUGAAAGAAAAAUACAUGAAAGCAAAAGAACCAGUAAAGCAUAACAAACGUCUACUCUAUAAUGUGAACUUCAGUCGCCAUUUUGACCAUAUCAACGACUAAUUAUUGAUGAUAAUCACGAUGCUAUUUACUUAAAGUUUCAAGCCACUAAGUUCUUUCAAAACGAGGAAACAAGCAAACACGUUAAUUAUGAAGAGUCGCGAAGACAAAAUAGAAUAAAUAAUUGAAAAAAUGGUUGAUAUCAUGGUCAGAACGAUAGCAGCUUUCCAAAAUGAAAUGGCAGAUCUUUCCGGGGUUUCUUCAGAUGUCAUUAUUUAGAGAUGUUUGGUACCCCUGGCUAUGUUAUUAACCGUCGUUACGUGGAGUGGCAUUUCCAUGCUGCACAAGAAUUUAUCUAUAUCGUAUUUUCCUAAAAUUGUUUUUUUCUCAAGACCUAUUUGAUAUUUGAUGAUGAAUAAUUGCAUUUGUCUUCAUGCAUCAUUCGACAAAACUGGUUGUAUGCCAUUGAUGCGGGCGGAAGAAGUAAACACUGGAAAACAAGCAACUUAACUGGCGUUAAAAGAUCUUUAGCAUUUUGUAUGAACGUGAGUUAAUCCCCGUACAUAUUCAUGCAAGGAUUAGUAUCUGAUCCUGCUCAAUAGUCGAUUCCAUUAGCUACGUACGUCGAAGUUGCGCGGAACAACAAACAUAGAAACAACUAUUUACUGAUGUUUUAUCAUACGAUUUUCAGUUAAUGGGAAUAACACAAACCACUUUAUUGUGGUAGGCUUAUUUCUUUAAAUGAUGAAUAUGAUAGAACGGCAAGUAAUUUCAGUUGUG